AAGUGAACACUUGAGAAUUUUAUGUAUAAAAUUUUAUUUCAGCUCUUUAGCGUGCCAAAGAAACAAUAUUCGAGAUCAUGUUCCUCCUCAUUUCUUUUAGUCUCUCUGAUCUCUUUGUCUUGUGCAUGAUGCUUUCAGUUAUGGGAUUUAGUAUAUAGUAUAAAUUCCAGCCUCCCAGCCAGGGAAAUAUUGUUGAAGUUCUAACAUUGAAUAUAAAUCACGUACGUACUUAGUCAUUUAACUUUUACCUGAUGCUCAUAAUUGAACUCUGCUCACAUGGUUUACUUUUGCAAAGAGUUCCAUAGAGGAUGAAAAACAAGAAGAAGAUCGUGAGAAAAACCAAAGACAGUGAAGGAUUCUGAGUGGAAAGUUCUUAAUGAAUUAAGGUUGUAUGGUUGUGCAGUCUUAAUGAGAUUUUAAGCGAGGACCAUCCAUGUCUUUGAGUCAGUUCACUGCCGAAGGCGAUGUCGAGUUCGAGGCUGUUCUUUUUGUUCCUCCAAAAGCUUCUCGGGUUCUGUACGAGAGUUGGUACAAACCUAAGAAGUUCAACUUGAAGUAAUGUCAGGCAUGCCUUCAUCUCAGUUGAAUUUGAUGAGUUUUCUCCCAAGUGCCUAGACUUUUUGAUGGGUCUGGAGGGUAUAGCCGGGAGUGAGCUUCUUAAAUUGUCUGUGCAGUUUAUGGGCUUAGCAUUGUAAUCUUACCUGGGAAUUAAGAUCCAUAUAUGUACUUAGCAUGUUUUAGACUAUAACAUUUUCAAAUUGAAAAUUUUAUUUUGUAUAUGUUAUCCAUAGAAUUUUAAUAUAUAUUUAGCCGAUAUUGGGUACUUAGUUGUUUGUUGAUAAGGACUUUUAUAUUAAAUUUCAUUGGUAUAAUGGUUUCCUUACCGUUUUUUCCAUCCUUUGUUAUCAGGUAAUAGAUUUCUUUCGAUUUUUUAUUUUAAUUUUAUAGUGAGGGUUAUAAUAAACUAUAAAUCUUUGGUUGGUUUUCUUAUUUUUUUCUUUUAGAGUGUUCUGUGGCGAUGUUUGAUCAUCAACAUCACCAACUUAUCAUUUUGUUCAUGUCAUUUUAGAGCUGAUGCAAGGGAAGAUUGCAAGUCAUGGAUUGAACUUGAAAUCACUACAAACGUUGUAAGAUUACUACUGCCCAUGUGACAAUUUUUUUUUAUGUUGUUCUUACUUCCCUAUUAAGUUCUGAAUUUAGUAUUUUUUCCUUGAUAUGUAUAUGGCAACCCAUUAAUUGGGGAAUGAGGAGAUUGCGUCUAAGGUUAUGAAUGAACAUAAACUGAAAUCGAUUAGCAUUUCAAAUUGCAUCCCACAUCACAAGUAAGUUCCUACACUUUGCAGUUGCAUAUUUUAAGAAAAUGAGUACUUGGCAGUUUAAGAACGAACAUGAUCACAAUGGAUGGGAAAAUGAUUAUCAAUGCCAUACAUAACUUUUUGGUUUUUAAAAUUAAAAUUCGUUUACACUUUAUAUGCCAAAUUAAAAAAAUAUAUAAAUAUUUUGUCGAUAUUUCCCCUAAAAUCCCUGGAGUUUCUUUAUAGGAACACAACGGGACCUUACCUCUCGAUGUAAGCAAAAGGUAUAAUUUUUUUACUUCACGUGCUAUGCUCUGGCGAUAUAGUUUUGCUGAAUAAGUAAGAUCAGGAGUGGCAUUAUGUCCAACAAGGAUAUGGUGCUCACGAUGUGUAUUUGCAUAAAAGUAGAAUGAGUCGGAAUCCUUGGCUGAAAAAAAGGUUCACAUGCACAACAACAUUCCAAUGUAUUGUUAGUGGUGUUAGGAAUCUUCUGUGUAUUCACACUGCCGUAGGGUUGUUGCAUGUUUUUGCAAGUACAAAUUAGUUCUUUUUGGUUAUGUCAGGAUAUUGCCAUUGACAUAUAAACUGUAUUCUUGAAAAAUGGCUCUUGCCUUUAUGAUAGUAUAGUAAUGUGUUUUCUGAGUUUCUCUAUCUCAUGUAUCCAUCCUUGCAUUUCAUUGACUUUGCACCUCAGCUGUCAGACACGUCCUUCUAUUGUGUUUUAGAGCGAGGUUAGUUUGUAGACCUCUAUUAUUAUUUACACUAUUUUUCUUUCCUUUUUGCAUUGCUUUUAUUAGCUUUUAUUGAAUGAUAAUGGUAGUUUUCUUUAAGUGUUGGAUGUGACAGGCGCAAAUGAGGAAAUUAUAUUGGUAAAUUGGUAAUGUGUGUCUGAAUGCUUCAUUGAUGUUAACAACUUGGAGAUCCGAUGCCCUGAAGAAAUCCUUUGUUUUUGUUAUUCUUUUCCCUCAUAUUUUAUUUUUACAGCAUCGGAUAUAAUGAGGAGAUGAUUAGGUAAAUUCCUUUUACGUUUGGUCAUCAAACUGAUGGCAUAAAUGUAUUAUCCCUAGGAAUGCCAGUAUCUAUUAUGAUCUGAACUUUGCGAGUAUGUACAACUAACCCAUGAAAGGAUCUUACAAGGCUUCCAUAACGAGCAAAUCGGUUCAUGUUUUAUCAAAUGUGUGUGACACACUUCUUAAAAUUAGCAACUGAAAUUGGAAACAUAGUCGAUAUAUUAAGAUGAAUAACUGAAUUGGGUUUUUUAUUUCUUUGCAGGAGCAUCAAGUUCCUUCUCAAGGAAUUCCAUUUUCAUAUUUGAACUCAAAUUGGCCUUAAUUAUUCUCUAUUUAUCGUAACUAAUGUGCUCAAUGGUUGAAGCAGGUGAACCAACCUAAUUUCAAUUGUCGUUGCAACGGAGAUUUCUCGAUUCGUUGGUGGUAUUCAACCAAGGACUAGUCCUUGGAAGGCUUGGUAACAUAUGUUCAAGAAGCAAAAUUAUCUCUCAAUAGCCAAGGUAUGCCAAAUUGGCAAAUUUCUUUUACAAGUAUGGUUGAUUGGUAUAGUCAACUCUAAAUCCAUGAACAUACGACUUUUCCUUUGCAUCUCCUAGAUAUGAGAAUCCCGUUUUUCCUUAAAAACUUACUUUUUGUAUUAAAUACGUUCAACUUCCUAGACCAUCCAGAAAUCCAUGUCAUUUUCAUGGUUGUAAUGGAUCAAAAUUCCACUGAUGGUAUAAAUUGUGAUGUCUUUUAACACGAUUUUGUUGCAGGUAGUGAACUCAGUUGCUAAAUGAAAUUACUAAGAGUGCGGAUCCUUUGUUUGUUAGAUAAGUUCAUUAUGAUGCUAAGACUGAUUUUCUAAUGUUGAAUAUAUAAUUCAUAAUGAUUGUUUGUUCAGUGAAUAUACUACAAUAUAGUAAUCCAAGAUGAUAUAUGAUUAUGAAUCUCAUUACUCUAGCAGAGCUCAUUCAGUUUCGAUGUAUUACCACUUGCCAUCUUAACUCAGCUGGAAGAGCCCAUGGGCUUGAACCAUGUGGUCGUGGGUUCGAUUCCCACAGAUGGCUGAGGGACCCUAUAGUUGUACGCAUUUUAGGGUGCAACUACUCUAACAUGGUUCUUCCUGCGGUACCAAAUCUUAUUACGUACCACAUUUAUAUUGAAGUGGACUUCACUGGAAAUUGAUAGGUCAAUAGAUAAUCACUGAGGUAGUUCAUUAGUUACCUUAGUUUUAUUCAUUUUAUCAGGCCACUUAUACUUCUUAUAUUGAAGUGGACUUCUUAUCGAAUUGAGGCAUCUUGGAUUGUUUUCAGAGGUACUCAAACGUUUAACUUCUUUUUUUUUAAUCCUUUACAGGUAAAAAUGUCACUGGUGGGUUCUCAGAGACUGUGGGCAUGGUCGCAAGAAUCUAACAACUGGCAAAAAUUCUGUAAAUUCUAUGUCUAAUAGCUGUACAUUACUUUUUUUGGUAUUUUUUGCUGGUUUUUUUUUUUUUUUUUCUGAAGGUAACAUUAUAUUAAGACCGAACAGAACACAAAGUACAGAGAUAACAACACAGGAAGCAGCUUAUCCUUAAUACAUACAGGUGGUGUGUUAUCCCAAACACUAGAUACAUGGGAUUUCCUAGCUAGCUUAGCCAGAAUAUCUGCUGCUUCAUUCAUUUUACGCGACACAUAUGUACAUAAUGAACUACCUAACAAACUUGAUCUGUUUUUACAGUCUUGAACAUAAGAGAAAAGUGUCCAAGGUAUAUUAGAAAGAUCACCAUUGAUGCCAAAAUAUCCAUGGGUUUUCAGGGUAUAACCGAGUGUAAGCUUCUUAAACUGUUUCCGCAGUAAGUGAAUGAUUCAUGCAUGGACAUAGUAUGCUGUGGUGGUCAUAGGUAAUAAUUGUCAUAACUCCAGUUAAAAGUAAUUUACUCACAGGUAUUAUCUGUUUUAACGUGAA
Molecule: long non-coding RNA, 4234 nt
Organism: Papaver somniferum (opium poppy)
Lineage: Eukaryota; Viridiplantae; Streptophyta; Magnoliopsida; Ranunculales; Papaveraceae
Exons: 3
Source: RefSeq, a predicted model, not a curated record